RNAcentral lists this ribosomal RNA (1311 nucleotides) under human gut metagenome. Its description in RNAcentral is "bacterial LSU rRNA". It matches the Rfam family "Bacterial large subunit ribosomal RNA", at positions 706 to 2000 of the family's 2925-position model. The record is from RNAcentral.
GGUAUAGACCCGAAACCCGGUGAUCUAGCCAUGGGCAGGUUGAAGGUUGGGUAACACUAACUGGAGGACCGAACCGACUAAUGUUGAAAAAUUAGCGGAUGACUUGUGGCUGGGGGUGAAAGGCCAAUCAAACCGGGAGAUAGCUGGUUCUCCCCGAAAUCUAUUUAGGUAGAGCCUUGAGCGGACACCUUCGGGGGUAGAGCACUGUUUCGGCUAGGGGUCCAUCCCGGAUUACCAACCCGAUGCAAACUACGAAUACCGAAGAGUGAUACUCAGGAGACACACGGCGGGUGCUAACGUCCGUCGUGGAGAGGGAAACAACCCAGACCGCCAGCUAAGGUCCCAAAGUCUAUAUUAAGUGGGAAACGAAGUGGGAAGGCUUAGACAGCUAGGAUGUUGGCUUAGAAGCAGCCAUCAUUUAAAGAAAGCGUAAUAGCUCACUAGUCGAGUCGGCCUGCGCGGAAGAUGUAACGGGGCUCAAAUAUAGCACCGAAGCUGCGGCAUCAGACGAAAGUCUGUUGGGUAGGGGAGCGUUCUGUAAGCGGAUGAAGGUGAAUCGAGAGGUUUGCUGGACGUAUCAGAAGUGCGAAUGCUGACAUAAGUAACGAUAAAACGGGUGAAAAACUCGUUCGCCGGAAGACCAAGGGUUCCUGUCCAACGUUAAUCGGGGCAGGGUGAGUCGGCCCCUAAGGCGAGGCUGAAAAGCGUAGUCGAUGGGAAACGGGUUAAUAUUCCCGUACUUGGAUAAACUGCGAUGUGGGGACGGAGCAGGUUAGGUUAGCGCACUGUUGGAUAUGUGCGUUUAAGUUGGUAGGUGUGAAGUUUAGGCAAAUCCGGACUUCUUUAACACUGAGAGAUGAUGACGAGGCUCUACGGAGCUGAAGUAACCGAUACCACACUUCCAGGAAAAGCCACUAAGCUUCAGGUUUAUCUAAACCGUACUGAAAACCGACACAGGUGGUCAGGUAGAGAAUACUCAGGCGCUUGAGAGAACUCGGGUGAAGGAACUAGGCAAAAUAGCACCGUAACUUCGGGAGAAGGUGCGCCGGCGUAGAUUGUAGUCCCUUGCGGAUGAAGGUUGAACCGGUCGAAGAUACCAGCUGGCUGCAACUGUUUAUUAAAAACACAGCACUCUGCAAACACGAAAGUGGACGUAUAGGGUGUGAUGCCUGCCCGGUGCUGGAAGGUUAAUUGAUGGUGUAAUCGAAAGAGAAGCUCCUGAUCGAAGCCCCAGUAAACGGCGGCCGUAACUAUAACGGUCCUAAGGUAGCGAAAUUCCUUGUCGGGUAAGUUCCGACCUGCACGAAUGGC